UUCGCAAUGCCCGAAAGGGUGACGAAGCGACGCCGCGUGUGGGAAGAAGGCCUUCGGGUUGUAAACCACUGUCAGGAGUUAGGAAGUGUAGGAGCGUUAAUAGCGUUCUUGCUUGACUAAGGUUCCAGAGGAAGCCACGGCUAACUCUGUGCCAGCAGCCGCGGUAAUACAGAGGCGGCAAGCGUUGUUCGGAAUUAUUGGGCGUAAAGAGCACGUAGGCGGCCUUGCAAGUCAGUUGUGAAAGCCUUCCGCUCAACGGAAGAAUGCCAGCUGAUACUACAGGGCUUGAGUACGGGAGGGGAGAGUGGAACUUCUGGUGGAGCGGUGAAAUGCGUAGAUAUCAGAAGGAACGCCGGCGGCGAAAGCGACUCUCUGGCCCGAAACUGACGCUGAGUGUGCGAAAGCUAGGGGAGCAAACGGGAUUAGAUACCCCGGUAGUCCUAGCCGUAAACGAUGGGCACUAAGUAGAGGGGUUUU
This 477-nucleotide ribosomal RNA is filed under the name Candidatus Kuenenia stuttgartensis. Its description in RNAcentral is "bacterial SSU rRNA". It matches the Rfam family "Bacterial small subunit ribosomal RNA", at positions 365 to 832 of the family's 1533-position model. Lineage: Bacteria; Pseudomonadati; Planctomycetota; Candidatus Brocadiia; Candidatus Brocadiales; Candidatus Brocadiaceae. The record is from RNAcentral.